AAAAAUUACUACAAAUUACAACCGUGAUACAUAUUCAUAAUCUUUCUUCAUGUACAAGUAUCUCAGCCCACACCAAAACAUGGUGAAACAAUUGGCUGGAAAAUAGGGGGAAGAAUAUAUUUCUAUAAAGACCAGGGAAACCAUAGACAAACAAAGGCCAUGACACACAAAUCCUGAGAUAGGAUUUCUAAUGCACCAAUGCUGUAGGGAAAGGUAGUUUAUGCUGUACAAAGUCUCAUUGUUACCAUCUUCGAGGAAAAGACACGGAAGGAAAAGGAAACAAUAGAGUCUCACCUAACCCUACAAGAUUCUAUAACUUCAAGCACUGUUGAAUGAGUCUCUGGCGAUAUCAUGUUCAGUGUCAUGUGGAAUUCCACAAAUCUCUCCAGCACAGGUACAAGAAUGGACAAUUUAUGAUCUGGUAAGUAACCAGCGAUUGCCUGCCGUAUGCUCUUGCUCUCAGUUGAAAGGAAGGCAAGAAGGAGAGCUGAAUAUGCUUCAAUAAUCAUUUUUUCAGCUUCUUUCUCCCCCUGUAGUACAGCAUCUUCAUCAUCCCAUUGCAAACAUUUUCCUUCCCCAGCAGCCUCUCCAGCCCCUUGAUUUUCCAGAAAGAUUGCACAUAGCAGAGGGAUAACAUCUGUCUGAGUCUCCCCCUUAAACAAACCUUCUGAUCCAGGCAAUGAAAUACUAGCAGCUGCAAGUCUAGACCUGUUGCAGCCAUCCUUCUCUACCAAAUUGACCAGCAAACCCAAAAUAGCAACAAGAAAAUCUAGCUCUUGAUCAUUGAGAUGGCCAUCACUAUCAGAUCCAACGCUUGAUUUUGAUAACCCAUUACGAUCCAAAUGCAAGCUGAAGGACGGAAAAUGGCUGGCGAUCAAAGCAGAUAAAGCUUCUAGUCCACCACCGGCAGCAAUUUGCUGACAGCCAACAGGGUUGUCAUUCGUCAAGUUCAUCAGAACCUUAACAGCUGUGAGAAGGCAAUCUGCCAGAAGGGUCGACAUUUCGU
RNAcentral lists this unclassified non-coding RNA (1006 nucleotides) under Hevea brasiliensis (rubber tree). The record is from RNAcentral. Lineage: Eukaryota; Viridiplantae; Streptophyta; Magnoliopsida; Malpighiales; Euphorbiaceae.